This is a non-coding RNA of Podarcis lilfordi (Lilford's wall lizard), 71 nucleotides long. NCBI's taxonomy places the organism in Eukaryota, Metazoa, Chordata, Lepidosauria, Squamata, Lacertidae. The record is from the annotation of a GenBank genome assembly.
GGACCAUAGCUCAGUGGUAGAGCAUCUGUCUUGCAUGCAGAAUGUCCCAAGUUCAAUCCCCAACAUCUCCA